RNAcentral lists this unclassified non-coding RNA (227 nucleotides) under air metagenome. RNAcentral's name for it is "partial contains small subunit ribosomal RNA, internal transcribed spacer 1, and 5.8S ribosomal RNA". The stretch from base 1 to 46 matches the Rfam family "Eukaryotic small subunit ribosomal RNA", at positions 1786 to 1831 of the family's 1831-position model. The record is from RNAcentral.
AAGUCGUAACAAGGUUUCCGUAGGUGAACCUGCGGAAGGAUCAUUAGUGAACAUAGGACGUCCAACUUAACUUGGAGUCCGAACUCUCACUUUCUAACCCUGUGCACUUGUUUGGGAUAGUAGUCGACCUAGUCGACGAACUCCUAUUCACUUACAAACACAAAGUCUAUGAAUGUAUUUAAUUUUAUAACAAAAUAAAACUUUCAACAACGGAUCUCUUGGCUCUC